This 372-nucleotide ribosomal RNA is filed under the name uncultured bacterium. RNAcentral describes it as "bacterial SSU rRNA". It matches the Rfam family "Bacterial small subunit ribosomal RNA", at positions 525 to 896 of the family's 1533-position model. The record is from RNAcentral.
ACGAAGGGGGCGAGCGUUGUUCGGAAUUACUGGGCGUAAAGGGCGCGCAGGCGGCCUUUGAAGUCAGGCGUGAAAGCCCCGGGCUCAACCUGGGAGGUGCGCUUGAUACUCGAAGGCUGGAGUACGGGAGAGGAGAGUGGAAUUCCCAGUGUAGAGGUGAAAUUCGUAGAUAUUGGGAAGAACACCGGUGGCGAAGGCGGCUCUCUGGACCGUAACUGACGCUGAGGCGCGAAAGCGUGGGGAGCAAACAGGAUUAGAUACCCUGGUAGUCCACGCUGUAAACGAUGUGCGCUAGACGUUGGGGGACUUAGUCCCUCGGUGUCGCAGCUAACGCGUUAAGCGCACCGCCUGGGGAGUACGGCCGCAAGGUUA